Long non-coding RNA from Orbicella faveolata, 1514 nucleotides. Lineage: Eukaryota; Metazoa; Cnidaria; Anthozoa; Scleractinia; Merulinidae. The record is from RefSeq and is a predicted model, not a curated record.
CGGUUAGAACAGUUGACAUUCUGAUCCAGGUAACCAGGUUCAAUCCCUGGCAAGAGCCAUUGCAUGUGUUUUGUUUUGGGCAAGAUGGCUUACUCAUAAUGCAUCUCUGCCCAGGUGUAUAAAGGGUACUAGGGAAUGUAAUGCUGGGAGGUGACCUCGCCAUGUACUAGCAUCCCAUCCAAGGGGUGAAAGAAAGAUACCUAGUGGCUAUCAUAAAAACCAGAGGUUAGUGGCAGCUUGAUGGCUGAUGCCACUACCAGGCUCGCAUGAAGACUUGCUGUUAGCCUACAAUCGAUGUUGUUGAAAACUUGUGUAAUAAGUUAUAUUCUAACCUUACACAUUUAUUCCCUCUCUAAUUUGUGACUGCAUUUUGUUUCCCUCAGGGCUCUUUUCAGGAUUAUCUGUAGUCAGCCAUAUUAGUAAUUACCGCAGGAAACAAAGGCGGCUCAAUAGUGGAAACUGUGCCUCAUGUGAUGUUUCGUUUUCUUCUGUGUUGAAAAAGCGACAAUAUUGUCGCCAUUGUGGAGAUAGCUUUUGCUCUCGCUGUUGCUGCAAGCAUGUCAAGAGGUCGGUGUUCGGAGCCACAGCACCAGCAGCCUAUGAAGAGACAGUGCUGGUUUGUAAAAGCUGUUAUGGCUACCUCAUGAACAAAGCCGAAGAAAUGAAUACAGACAUUUGGUGAAGUUUGUCACAUGGCAUGUCCAGUUGUGUGCGUGGGCAGAUCUGCAAUAUCGAAUGGACAAUGAGUAGUGAUCCUCGUAUAAUUUGAAAUUAUUUGAGACUUUUUAAAUGGCAAUAUGUAGCGAAAUUAAAAAGAACUAUGUCACUUGUAACUUAUUUGUGAAUCUUCUAUUAGAUAUAUCAGAUCGGGGGCAUUAACCUCUUGUGGACGUACUGGGAAAUAUUGGCCUGAAGUUGUGGCAGUACAGACCGAGCGCAUCGAAGUCCGUACAAAAUCGACCAAGGGCCAAUGUUCCCCAGUACAGCUCCAGCAAGCUAGGUUAGAAAGUAGUUUGUUAUAGGGCACUCAAAACAAAAACAAAAAUACACGGCUUAUGACCUUUUCCAAUGGAAACGGCCCGUAAGGCAAAAUUCUGACUUAAAAAAGAAGCGAACAGAACGCUUGGAUUUACCUCAAGACUACCUUGCCAAACAAUAUUUCUUAUUAACCCCAUGGCCUAGGGCGAGUGGGGUUCUUAAUUUUCGUCGCCUUUUUCCAGCAGAAGUCGAGAGAAAAUUUAAGAGCUGGUCUUUGAACUUUUGUGACAAACUGGUUGUCACUAACUGGUUGAACACUUAUGACGAACUUGUUGUAAAGAUGUUUUGAACAAGGAUAGUGUUAGUUUUUAAUUCAUUGUAUUUUUAUUGUAUUUUUAUUGUUUUUACGUUGUAUUGUUCACUGAAAAACCUAUUUUUGGGAGUGUGCAAUAAAGAUUCAACUUCAACUUCAACUUCAAAGAGGCAUAUUGGCGGUGAAAUGUGUUGGAGAAUAACAAAAUUACCCGUUGUGAUAA